UCUUGGCAUAUUUUUAAUGAAUUAAAAAAUCUUGCUGACAGAAACAACACACAAAAACCAACUCACGUCGUGGCAGAGUUAGGAGCUCAAUUGAUUAACGGGAACUCCAUUUUUUCCCACCAUUCGAAUUGAACCUUGUUGGCCAAACUGAAUCCAUAUAUAUAUAUACACACACACACAUAUUGUUUCGACAGGGCAAACUGAACCUAUCUCUCACCCUGUCUAUAGAGAUCUAUAUAUAUUGCUUAUCUCUCUCAUUCUCCCUCUGUUUAUAUAUAUAUAUAUAUAUAUAUAUAUUGGACAUACUUGUGAUUGCUAAGGAAUAAUCAAUCAAUCGAAGAGAGAGAACUGAGAAAUCGAGUAGUGUGAAAUUCCCUUUCCUAAUUACUCAGUUCGAGUCUAAUUACAGGGCAGCAAGAAUAAGAGAUAUUGUGGUUGCGAAUGGAUUAACUGAAACUGAGUGGUCAAUUUCAGAGUUAGGUGAAAAGGAUUGUGGUGGCAGUGAUGGGCACAAGAGGAAGACCCACUUUGUUAGGUCUCUUAAUGGAGUUAUGAAGAGAUUGGGCACCCACGGAGAAGACUGAACAGCUAUACCCAACCGAAAAAGAAAUCCAGAUGUUUCUACUAUGGCGACGCCAUCCACCACUUGAUCACUCCAAAAUUCAAAACGGAGGCGUACAACGUCGGCAACCUAGAAAAAGAAGAUGAUGUGAUUGAAGAGGCUGAUUCGUACCAAAGUGAGUAUGGAUUUGAGCAGGUUCCAUGGAAGAUGAUGAUGGUCUCUCUUAGAUGUUGCUUCUUUGUGGUUCUUUUUCUCCUGCCAUGGACACCUUUUCUUGAGGUACAGGAUACUAUAUAUAUAUAUAUAUAUAUAUAUAUAUAUAUAUAUAUAUAUAAGGGUAUAUAUAAUAGAGAAUGGGGAGGCUGAAAUGAUUUGCCGUAAUUUUUUUUUGCUGAAAUGAUUUGCCGUAAUUUUUUUUUUUUCUGUUCUUUUCUUUUCUUGUGCAGGUACAGGAUACUAUAUAUAUAUAUAUAUAUAUUUCAAAAUAUAAAAGGGUAUAAUAGUCAAUUUAUUAAAAUACUUUCCUUUCCUUUCUUUUCCCAAAUAUGAUUAUUAUACUUCCCUUUCUUUUCCUUCAUUAACCAACCAAACACGAUAGGGGUUAAAACUAUCCUUCCCUUCCAUUUCCCUCAUAACUAAUAUUAUCCUCCUCCUUCAAAUCCACCGUACCAAACAUACCCUUAAGGUAUAAGUUUAAAACGGUGUAGUUUUUUAUAAGGGUAAAUUGGUCUUUUACAUUUUUUAGCAUCAGAAGUAAACCUGGUAAGGUUAAAUGCAAAAAAAACAUAGUUCAUUUUUUUUUUUAGUAGUUCAGGAGAAUUUCUUGCAUUUUAUCCUAAAUUAUACAAUAUAUCAUGUCUAAUAUUUAAUUAUUUUCGUAUUUAGCUUUCCCUUUUGAUAAAAAAUCAAAAUCAAAAUUAGUUUUUUAGAUCUUCAUCUUCCUCUGCUUCCUCUAAUUUUCUCUCGUUUUCUCUGAUCUUAAAGAAUAUAAAAUUAAUUUUGACUUCUACUUUACCUACCUUAUUUUUUGAACCAAAAUCAAAUAUGAGUUGGGGUUCAAAAUUUUAUAGAUAAAAAUUUCAGACUUAAAAUUAGUGUAUGAAUGACUGAGCUCAUUGCACUUCUUGGGUCAACUAAGUUAGCUUUUUACACAAUUUAAAAAUAAAUAAACAAACAAACUUAAAAAGUUUUGUUUUUUUAUUUUACUAUGUGAAUUUUUAAUCGAAAGUAUAAAGUUAAAAGAGUUGAAAAUUGAGUGCCAUGUACAAGAACAACUAUAUAGAAUAAGAGAAUUUAAUUUUAUUCCUUGAA
Long non-coding RNA from Cornus florida, 1873 nucleotides. RefSeq lists it as uncharacterized. Lineage: Eukaryota; Viridiplantae; Streptophyta; Magnoliopsida; Cornales; Cornaceae. The record is from RefSeq and is a predicted model, not a curated record. The transcript has 2 exons.